This 468-nucleotide ribosomal RNA is filed under the name uncultured bacterium. RNAcentral's name for it is "partial 16S ribosomal RNA". It matches the Rfam family "Bacterial small subunit ribosomal RNA", at positions 28 to 507 of the family's 1533-position model. The record is from RNAcentral.
GACGAACGCUGGCGGCGUGCUUAACACAUGCAAGUCGGACGGAAAGGCCCUGCUUUUGUGGGGUGCUCGAGUGGCGAACGGGUGAGUAACACGUGAGUAACCUGCCCUUGACUUUGGGAUAACUUCAGGAAACUGGGGCUAAUACCGGAUAGGAGCUCCUGCUGCAUGGUGGGGGUUGGAAAGUUUCGGCGGUUGGGGAUGGACUCGCGGCUUAUCAGCUUGUUGGUGGGGUAGUGGCUUACCAAGGCUUUGACGGGUAGCCGGCCUGAGAGGGUGACCGGCAACAUUGGGACUGAGAUACGGCCCAGACUCCUACGGGAGGAAGCAGUGGGGAAUAUUGAACAAUGGGCGGAAGCCUGAUGCAGCAACGCCGCGUGCGGGAUGACGGCCUUCGGGUUGUAAACCGCUUUCGCCUGUGACGAAGCGUGAGUGACGGUAAUGGGUAAAGAAGCACCGGCUAACUACGUG